Molecule: ribosomal RNA, 292 nt
Filed under: uncultured bacterium
Lineage: Bacteria
Description: partial 16S ribosomal RNA
Rfam family: Bacterial small subunit ribosomal RNA
Source: RNAcentral
GUGCCAGCCGCCGCGGUAAUACGAGAGGCCCAAACGUUAUUCGGAUUUACUGGGCUUAAAGAGUCCGUAGGCGGCGCAGAAAGUGGGGUGUGAAAUCCCUCGGCUCAACCGAGGAAUUGCGCUCCAAACUCCUGUGCUUGAGGAACCUAGAGGUGAGCGGAACUGAUGGUGGAGCGGUGAAAUGCGUUGAUAUCAUCAGGAACACCGGAGGCGAAGGCGGCUCACUGGGGGUUUUCUGACGCUGAGGGACGAAAGCCAGGGGAGCGAACGGGAUUAGAUACCCCGGUAGUCC